ACAGAUGGGAGCUUGCUCCCUGAUGUUAGCGGCGGACGGGUGAGUAACACGUGGGUAACCUGCCUGUAAGACUGGGAUAACUCCGGGAAACCGGGGCUAAUACCGGAUGGUUGUUUGAACCGCAUGGUUCAGACAUAAAAGGUGGCUUCGGCUACCACUUACAGAUGGACCCGCGGCGCAUUAGCUAGUUGGUGAGGUAACGGCUCACCAAGGCGACGAUGCGUAGCCGACCUGAGAGGGUGAUCGGCCACACUGGGACUGAGACACGGCCCAGACUCCUACGGGAGGCAGCAGUAGGGAAUCUUCCGCAAUGGACGAAAGUCUGACGGAGCAACGCCGCGUGAGUGAUGAAGGUUUUCGGAUCGUAAAGCUCUGUUGUUAGGGAAGAACAAGUGCCGUUCAAAUAGGGCGGCACCUUGACGGUACCUAACCAGAAAGCCACGGCUAACUACGUGCCAGCAGCCGCGGUAAUACGUAGGUGGCAAGCGUUGUCCGGAAUUAUUGGGCGUAAAGGGCUCGCAGGCGGUUUCUUAAGUCUGAUGUGAAAGCCCCCGGCUCAACCGGGGAGGGUCAUUGGAAACUGGGGAACUUGAGUGCAGAAGAGGAGAGUGGAAUUCCACGUGUAGCGGUGAAAUGCGUAGAGAUGUGGAGGAACACCAGUGGCGAAGGCGACUCUCUGGUCUGUAACUGACGCUGAGGAGCGAAAGCGUGGGGAGCGAACAGGAUUAGAUACCCUGGUAGUCCACGCCGUAAACGAUGAGUGCUAAGUGUUAGGGGGUUUCCGCCCCUUAGUGCUGCAGCUAACGCAUUAAGCACUCCGCCUGGGGAGUACGGUCGCAAGACUGAAACUCAAAGGAAUUGACGGGGGCCCGCACAAGCGGGGGAGCAUGUGGGUUAAUUCGAAACAACGCGAAGAACCUUACCAGGGCUU
RNAcentral lists this ribosomal RNA (931 nucleotides) under Bacillus siamensis. RNAcentral's name for it is "bacterial SSU rRNA". It matches the Rfam family "Bacterial small subunit ribosomal RNA", at positions 69 to 982 of the family's 1533-position model. The record is from RNAcentral. Lineage: Bacteria; Bacillati; Bacillota; Bacilli; Caryophanales; Bacillaceae.